RNAcentral lists this long non-coding RNA (280 nucleotides) under Lathyrus oleraceus (garden pea). Its description in RNAcentral is "Pisum sativum (pea) long non-coding RNA (PSAT_LNC014947)". Lineage: Eukaryota; Viridiplantae; Streptophyta; Magnoliopsida; Fabales; Fabaceae. The record is from RNAcentral.
UCAAAGUUGGUUUAUUAAUGUAUUAUUUUCUCUAGUAAUUCCUUGUUAAAAAUGUUUAAUGUUAGUUAUGAAAGCAUGAAAGUAACUUAUUAAUGUUAGUUGUAGUUGUAUCAAGUAAAAUGUUUAAUAUUGUUGUUGUUGUUGAAAUUUAAUAUUUAACUAUUCUACUGAUUUUGUUUAUUUAUUGUUAUUGUUUUUGUUGGUGAGAUUUAACGUUUAAAAAUUCUAUGGAUUUUGUUAUUGUUGUUGUUUUUUUGGUUGUUGAGAUUUAAUAUUUAAG